GCCUUUAUGACGGCGGGAGGCCGCAAACGGUAGUGGGGCGUUGCCUGGAAAUGGCGGCGCAGGGCGGGGGUCGGUUGUGAAGAGGAACUCCAGUUAGAAAGAUGUAAGAGUGAGAAAAAGCUGAUUGUUAUAGGGCUAGAUAGUACAGACCCAGUGAGUAGGAUGGCUUUAUUGUGAAGGUACUUUGCUUAGUUUUUCCUUAAAUUGUUGAGCUCAAGAAAGGUCUGCACCUCAUGCAUGGAAUAUCAACACCCCACACUGAGGGCUUUUAAUGAGGUGUCUCUGACUGAAGUAGAUCAAUGAGGAUAAGUGCCAAAUACAGGGGGAGAGGGAGUCAUUUUGUCAGAAAUUGUGCCAAGAUUCUCAAAGUAAACUAAAUUCUGGAGAUGUUCCAGAAAACAAUCAAAGUUUGGCUACGUGACCAUCAGCAACUAUAGUGGUAAACCUAACUGAAAAUGUGGAUGUGAGAGACUGUUACUUCGGCCAUGUGGAUUUUCUGUAGGAAUUUCACACGAUUUAAUUCUGAGGGGCUGGACAUACUAAAAAACAAAGGCAAAAUGGACAUUGAACAGUAAAUUGAAGGAACAGCACACCAUAGGUUUCUACUCAAAGGCAAUUUGGGGUCCUCUAUUCAGCAUGUUGUGGCACCGUCAGAAUACUGUGGUGUUUAAGGUGAGGAGGGGCCUUCAAGAUUUGAAGUUUUUACAAAAGAGGAUGAUGUGAAAGGAAAAUUGCAUGAAACACUAGUGAACAGAUGGCAUCAUUUCAUCUCAUGCUCUGAAAGUGACAAGUGACACUGUGGCACUGACUUUAUUGUAUUAGCCUGUGCUGGCUGUGCUGAAUUUAUAAACCACAUAGCAAGUUUCUUUGGCUCUACCUCUCACAACAGAAGGUGAAGUAAGAAAACACAGGAAAACUAAUAUGUGCGAGACACUGGCAAUGUGGUACAGGUUGUAAGGAGAGAAAGCAAUAUGAAGACUUACAGUUAGAUGGUUGAUUCAGAAGUUGUUUGAUGGUGAUGAAACAGAUCUGCACCUGUUGACUAGGACCUCAAAAUAAAGCUCACAA
Long non-coding RNA from Gallus gallus (chicken), 1068 nucleotides. RefSeq lists it as uncharacterized. The transcript is spliced from 7 exons. The record is from RefSeq and is a predicted model, not a curated record. Lineage: Eukaryota; Metazoa; Chordata; Aves; Galliformes; Phasianidae.